AAAUUAUAAUUUUAAUACACGAACAUAUAGGUACAAGUGAACAACUUAUCAGAGAAAGGGACGAGUACGCGAUCGAUAGUGUUGCAUAAAUACCUAAGUAUUAAAUAACAUUAAAUAAGAUACGAAAGACAACGGAUAAAUCAGUAUAAGAAGUAGUAUGAUAUAAUGCAUUAAUGCGUCAGCGUCUAUGCCAGUCCGAACCAGUCCUCAAAAUUAGAUAAUAUACAUUAUACUUGAAUAGACAAAGAAAUUAUAUUUAGUUAAAAAUAGA
This is a long non-coding RNA of Aphis gossypii (cotton aphid), 271 nucleotides long. RefSeq lists it as uncharacterized. The record is from RefSeq and is a predicted model, not a curated record. Lineage: Eukaryota; Metazoa; Arthropoda; Insecta; Hemiptera; Aphididae. The transcript is spliced from 2 exons.